GCCCCUUCGGGGGUGAGUAGAGUGGCGAACGGGUGACUAACACGUGGGUAACCUGCCCCUCGCAGGGGGAUAACCGGGGGAAAGCCCGGCUAAAACCCCGUACGCUUGCCGGGGCGCAUGCUCCGGCAAGGAAAGGUAGCUUCGGCCAUCCGGCGAGGGAGGGGCCCGCGGCCCAUUAGCUAGUUGGUGGGGUAACGGCCCACCAAGGGCGACGAUGGGUAGCUGGCCUGAGAGGGUGGUCUGCCACACUGGGACUGAGACACGGCCCAGACUCCUACGGGAGGCAGCAGCCAGGAAUCUUGCGCAAUGGGCGAAAGCCUGACGCAGCAACGCCGCGUGGGCGAUGAAGGCCUUCGGGUCGUAAAGCCCUGAUGUCGGGGACGAAGGGCGAAGGGUUAAUAGCCCCUAGCCUGACGGUACCCGACGAGGAAGCCCCGGCUAACUACGUGCCAGCAGCCGCGGUAAUACGUAGGGGGCGAGCGUUGUCCGGAAUCAUUGGGCGUAAAGAGCGUGUAGGCGGCCCGGUAAGUCCGCUGUGAAAACCCGGGGCUCAACCCCGGGCGUGCAGUGGAAACUGCCGGGCUAGAGGGCGGCAGAGGCGAGUGGAUUUCCCGGUGUAGCGGUGAAAUGCGCAGAUAUCGGGAGGAACACCAGUAGCGAAGGCGGCUCGCUGGGCCGUUCCUGACGCUGAGACGCGAAAGCUUGGGGAGCGAAUCAGGAUUAGAUACCCUGGUAGUCCAAGCCGUAAACGAUGGGCACUAGGUGUGGGGGGAGUCGAAUCCCUCCGUGCCGUAGCCAACGCGUUAAGUGCCCCGCCUGGGGAGUACGGCCGCAAGGCUAAAACUCAAAAGAAUUGACGGGGGCCCGCACAAGCAGCGGAGCAUGUUCUUUAAAUUCGAUGCAACGCGAAGAACCUUUCCUGGGCUUGACAUGCUGGUGGUAGGCGCCGGAAACGGUGGCCGACCCUUCGGGGAGCCAGCACAGGUGCUGCAUGGCUGUCGUCAGCUCGUGUCGUGAGAUGUUGGGUUAAGUCCCGCAACGAGCGCAACCCCCGCCCUGUGUUGCCAGCAUUAAGUUUGGGGACUCACAGGGGACUGCCGGUGACAAACCGGAGGAAGGUGGGGGAUGACGUCAAGUCAUCAUGGCCCUUAUGCCCAGGGCUAGAAACGUGCUACAAUGGCCGGUACAUUGGGCUGCGAUGCCGCGAGGCGGAGCGAAUCCCAUCAAAGCCGGGUCUAAGUUCGGAUUGGAGUCUGCAACUCGACUCCAUGAAGGCGGAGUUGCUAGUAAUCGCGGAUCAGCAUGCCGCGGUGAAUACGUU
RNAcentral lists this ribosomal RNA (1321 nucleotides) under uncultured Rubrobacter sp. RNAcentral describes it as "bacterial SSU rRNA". It matches the Rfam family "Bacterial small subunit ribosomal RNA", at positions 74 to 1372 of the family's 1533-position model. Lineage: Bacteria; Bacillati; Actinomycetota; Rubrobacteria; Rubrobacterales; Rubrobacteraceae. The record is from RNAcentral.